This is a non-coding RNA of Acanthosepion pharaonis, 112 nucleotides long. Lineage: Eukaryota; Metazoa; Mollusca; Cephalopoda; Sepiida; Sepiidae. The record is from the annotation of a GenBank genome assembly.
UUACGGCCAUAUCACGCUGAAAUAUUGCUUCCCGUACGAUCACCGAAGUUAAGCAACGUCGAGACUGGUCGGUACCUAGAUGAGGUGACCGCUUGGGAAUACCAGAUAUUGG